AUACUGGUUGACUCUUGCAUUGGGGAGGUGGAUAGAAUAGUGGUGAAAGAGUGAAUAUACUGGUUGACUCUUACAUUGGGGAGGUGGACAGAAUAGGAGAUGAAGGAGUGAAGAUAUUGGUUAACUCGUUUUCUAUGAUUUUAUUGGAGUUUCACACUCUCCCAAAUCUGCACACACACAUCUGCCCCCAAUGCCUUCUUUACACACCUGAAAUGCUUCCUGACAGUGGCGGCUCGUCAAUAGGGACUGCGAGACUGCAGCCCCCCCAGUGGAUUUAUAGGAUUCACGAAAAUAAUGUUAAUUUAUUUAUGUUUGACUAUCAUUCACAUGAAAACACCAGUUCUCAUAUGUUUAUAUAGAAAAAAAAUAUUGCAAAACAGUGAGGAAGUACGGAAAUUAUUUACUAUUUAAUGAUACGAAAACGGGGAGAAACAGUGAGGAAGUACGGAAAUUAUUUACUAUUUAAUGAUACGAAAACGGGGAGAAACGGGGAGAGGCUUCCCGGCCCCGGGCAUAAUGGCGAGUGUGGACUGCAUCCAGCGCAGUCUUGUCCCGGCCGUUGUUGUGGCUAAGUGAGUGUUCUUGCGUCGGUCUUAUUUUCGAUGGUGUUUUUCAGUUUGUGAGGGAUGGAGAGGCUAAAUGCACUUGCCAUGAUUUCAAUAGAGAAGAUUUCUAUGAAUAAUAUGCCAGGUUUAAAUGAAAAAGUUAUUGAUCUGUUAGCACAAAACAGGAACAGGAGAAUGGACUUCCUUUUCAAAUAGCCUAAGCCACCACUAAGGAAGUCAAGCAUUUACUGUUAGGAUAAGACCUAAAGAAUUAAUUAAUUAUCUGUUUAUCUUUAUAAUCUAUCAAUCAAUGGUAUGUUAAACAAUAACAAUAAAAGCAUUUAAUAUUUUAUUUGUGUGAAUGUGAGACAGCCCCCCCCAUCAGUAACAGUCACGAGCCGCCAUUGAGCCUAUGUUGAGUUAAUCAGCCUAUUCUAACUCAUUUAUUUAUUUCUUGUUUAGCACCACAGAAAACGGAAUGCAUGGGCACUUUCCACAGAUUUUUGUGUUCAUCUCACCUCUCCACUUUUCAUAGGCCUGGGUGCUGUUGCAGUAGGCCUAUGUAUAUCAAGAUGGGAGGGAGGGGAGGAGGAGAGGGGUAACAAGUGUAACAAGUGUAACCUCCCCUGUGUGUUAGGUUAGGUCAGCUUAGGUCACACCGUAAUGACCUGUCCGAUGUUGCAGAUGGCAGUGGUCACGCAGCAGCUGACCCCACAGCAGGCCGCCCUCUCCUGUGACCCCCCGACCACCGCCACCACCACCACUGCCAGAAAGAGAGAGGGGACAGAGGGAAAGGUCACCUAACUGUCAGAUGGGUCCUCUCAAGAAUCACAAUCAACUGCAAGUGGGAAGAGGAGGAGGAGGAGGAGGAGGAGGAGGAGGAGGAAGGAUAAUUCUUCCUAUCAAAUUACUGAUGUUAUUGAUGAAGAUACAGUCAAGAGGCACGCAGAAGGGGUGAAGGAGCCACAGGAGGAGGUGACGAGUGGCCCAACCUAAGCUUUUCAGAAAUGGAGUCUUGAGAAUUUACCAGCUAGAUGGGUUUUCUUGGUUACUGACACUUUACGAGAACAGGAUCAACUUAAUUCUGGGAGACGAGAUAGGCCUGGGCAAGACUGUUCAGUUAAUCACCUUGGUGUGUCAUUUGGUGGAGCAGGGAGUGGCCGGGCCCUUCCUGGUGUGUGCCCUAUCCCCACGCUGCCAAACUGGAUGGCUGAGUGGCCAUCAGGGACAUGAGGGCUCUCCAGCAAUACGCCUGGAGAUAUUUGUGUGUGGACGAGGGACACAGACUCAAGAACCACAAGUGUAGGCUGACCAAGUCCCUGAACACCUUACCCCCCAUGAACCAACUGCUGCUGACUGGGACACCCUUACAGAACAGCGUGGCAGAGCUCUGGGCCCUUCUGAACUUCCUAAUGCCGGAUAUUUUUUGAUUCCCUUGAUGUUUUUGAGUCCUGGUUCAACGUCCUAUCACUCCAAUCCCUCCUCAGGAUCCCCCUAAGCGAAGGGCAGAAGGAGGGACAUUGGUGCCAGUUUGACCGAGGCUUGGGAGCUGAUCAACCCUAGGGCUCUGUUCUCCUUCAGCUGUGUCAAGGGCCUGGGCAGAGAAGAUAACCGUUGAAGGAGCGAGCAUCAGGAAUUGUGUCUGGAAUUCUGAGCACGUCUGCCUCAAUGUGGAUCAACAGUCGCAUAGAGCAGGAACUGAGUGACCCGUACGCACUGGUGGUUCUGCUGCACAAUGACCUUGUUGUUGUUGACCUCCUCUCCCCCGGCUACCCCUGGCUUCGAGAACCCUUAUUCAAUGGACAUCCACGAGUC
Molecule: long non-coding RNA, 2360 nt
Organism: Scylla paramamosain (green mud crab)
Lineage: Eukaryota; Metazoa; Arthropoda; Malacostraca; Decapoda; Portunidae
Exons: 9
Source: RefSeq, a predicted model, not a curated record